UGUAAUAGCGCCGGCCUUCGGGGGCGUCACAGUGACGCUACAGUUCCUGGAGUUGUGCUGUUUUCUCCUCGGAGUGGAGCCUGGUAACCGCGACUUCCCCGCCAUGUUCUGUGUGUUGCUGGCUGGAGAAGGGUAGUUGACAAACUCCGACCCGGCACAGUGUUUCUGUGGGUCAAAACUAGAAAACUAUGUCCGGGCUCCGCCGAGGCGGAAGGAUCCCUUCAGGCCAGGAGUUAAAGAGCAGCCUGGGCAACAUGGCGCGACCCCAUCUCUGUAGUCCCAGCUCAGCUUCUCAGAUGCUUGAACCCCAAGGUUCAAGGCUGCAAUGAGCUAUGAUCCCAUCACAGCACUCCAUCCUGCGAGACUGAGAGACGGGGUUUCACCAUGUUGGCCAGGCUGGUCUGGAACUCCUGACCUGAAGUGAUCUGCCCACCUCGGCUUCCCAAAGUGCUGGGAUUGCAGGCGUGAGCCACUGCUCCUGGCCCCUUCAGGUGGGUUUUGAGGCUUCACUACAAUACUAGUUCCCCGUUGCUGCUGCAAUAAAUUACCACACACUUAGUGGCUUAAAACAGCACAGAGGUAUUCCCUUACAUUUCUGAAGGCCAGAAUUCUAAAGUCAGUCCCACUGAGUCAAGGUGGGAGCAGGGUCAGUGCCUUCCCAGGCUCUGCGGGAGAAUCCGUUUCCUGGCCCUGGAGGCGGCCUGUACUCCUUAGCUUGUGCUGCCCUUCUCGAAUGACUCAAGUUUCGUGCUUUCAUCACUACACCUCCCACCGCUCUCCAUCAACCUGCUCUGCUCUUAUAAGGAUCCAGAGAAAUGGAAUAAUCUUAUUGCUGAUCUACAUAAACAAGUUGAAGAAUUGUCUGAAAGAAAAUAUGGUGUGUCUAAACUGGAAAAGUCCUGUGAUAGUUUGUUCAUGAGCAUUUACACAGUGGAGUUACUGUUCAUCAUGGGGGUACCGUGGACAAGCCCAGGGCUGCUGGAAUGUUUUUUAAGAAGGCUGUCUACUUAUGGAAUUCCUGGCCUUGAGAGGAUAUUACUUGCAAAGGAAAGGAUUCGUUUUUUGAUUAAAAAACAUGAACUUAUGAAUUUAAGACGUGAAGAUUUACAACUUGAUAAACCAGCUUCAGGAGGCUACAAUCUACUCGGCUUGCUGCUGCCCGCGCCGCGGACUGCCUGGGACUGCCGGCGCGCGCCACCGCUGCCUGCCUUUUCUCCUUUGGAUGCAGGCACGCGUUCGCCAUCUUGGCCACGCUGGUCGCCAGCUCCUGACGCCGAGUGCUCUGCCCGCCUCAGCCUCCCGAGGUACUGGGACUACAGACGGAAUCUCGCUCACCCAGUGCUCGGUGUUGCCCGGGCUGGAGGGCGGUGGCGUGGUCUGGCCUCGCAGCAGCCUCUACCCCCCGGCCGCCUGCCUUGGCCUGCCAGGGUGCUGGGAUUGCAGCCCCUGCCCGGCCGCCGCCCCAUCUGGAAGGUGGGGAGCGCCUCUGCCCGGCCGCCCCGUCUGGGAGGUGAGGAGCACCUCUGCCCGGCCGCCCCGUCUGGGAAGUGAGGAGCGCCUCUGCCCGGCCACCCACCGUCUGGGAAGUGAGGAGCGCCUCUGCCCGGCCACCCACCGUCUGGGAAGUGAGGAGCCCCUCUGCCCGGCCACCCACCGUCUGGGAAGUGAGGAGCACCUCUGCCCGGCCACCCACCGUCUGGGAAGUGAGGAGCGCCUCUGCCCGGCCGCCCCGUCCGGGAAGAAGUGAGGAGCGCCUCUGCCCGGCCGCCCCGCCCGGGAAGAAGUGAGGAGCGCCUCUGCCCGGCCACCCAUCGUCUGGGAAGUGAGGAGCGCCUCUGCCCGGCCGCCCCGUCCGGGAAGAAGUGAGGAGCGCCUCUGCCCGGCCGCCCCGUCCGGGAAGAAGUGAGGAGCGCCUCUGCCCGGCCGCCCCCGUCCGGGAAGAAGUGAGGAGCGCCUCUGCCCGGCCGCCCCGUCUGGGAAGAAGUGAGGAGCGCCUCUGCCCGGCCGCCCCGUCCGGGAAGAAGUGAGGAGCGCCUCUGCCCGGCCACCCAUCGUCUGGGAAGUGAGGAGCGCCUCUGCCCGGCCACCCACCGUCUGGGAAGUGAGGAGCGCCUCUGCCCGGCCGCCCCGUCUGGGAAGUGAGGAGCGCCUCUGCCCGGCCGCCCCGUCUGGGAAGUGAGGAGCGCCUCUACCCGGCCGCCCCGUCUGGGAAGUGAGCAGCGCCUCUGCCCGGCCGCCCCGUCUGGGAAGUGAGGAGCGCCUCUGCCCGGCCACCCACCGUCUGGGAAGUGAGGAGCGCCUCUGCCCGGCCACCCACCGUCUGGGAAGUGAGGAGCGCCUCUGCCCGGCCACCCACCGUCUGGGAAGUGAGGAGCGCCUCUGCCCGGCCACCCACCGUCUGGGAAGUGAGGAGCCCCUCUGCCCGGCCACCCACCGUCUGGGAAGUGAGGAGCCCCUCUGCCCGGCCACCCACCGUCUGGGAAGUGAGGAGCGCCUCUGCCCGGCCACCCACCGUCUGGGAAGUGAGGAGCGCCUCUGCCCGGCCACCCACCGUCUGGGAAGUGAGGAGCCCCUCUGCCCGGCCACCCACCGUCUGGGAAGUGAGGAGCCCCUCUGCCCGGCCACCCACCGUCUGGGAAGUGAGGAGCGCCUCUGCCCGGCCACCCACCGUCUGGGAAGUGAGGAGUGCCUCCGCCCGGCCGCCCCGUCCGGGAAGAAGUGAGGAGCGCCUCUGCCCGGCAGCCCCGUCCGGGAAGAAGUGAGGAGCGCCUCUGCCCGGCCACCCAUCGUCUGGGAAGUGAGGAGUGCCUCCGCCCGGCCGCCCCGUCCGGGAAGAAGUGAGGAGCGCCUCUGCCCGGCAGCCCCGUCCGGGAAGAAGUGAGGAGCGCCUCUGCCCGGCCGCCCCGCCCGGGAAGAAGUGAGGAGCGCCUCUGCCCGGCCGCCCCGUCCGGGAAGAAGUGAGGAGCGCCUCUGCCCGGCCGCCUCGUCCGGGAAGAAGUGAGGAGCGCCUCUGCCCGGCUGCCCCGUCCGGGAAGAAGUGAGGAGCGCCUCUGCCAGGCCGCCCCAUCCGGGAAGAAGUGAGGAGCGCCUCUGCCCGGUCACCCAUCGUCUGGGAAGUGAGGAGCGCCUCUGCCCGGCCGCCCCGUCUGGGAAGGGAGGAGCGCCUCUGCCCGGCCGCCCCGUCUGGGAAGUGAGGAGCGCCUCUACCCGGCCGCCCCGUCUGGGAAGUGAGCAGCGCCUCUGCCCGGCCGCCCCGUCCGGGAAGAAGUGAGGAGCGCCUCUGCCCGGCCGCCCCGUCCGGGAAGAAGUGAGGAGCGCCUCUGCCCGGCCGCCCCGUCCGGGAAGAAGUGAGGAGCGCCUCUGCCUGGCCGCCCCGUCCGGGAAGAAGUGAGGAGCGCCUCUGCCCGGCCGCCCCGUCUGGGAAGUGAGGAGCGCCUCUGCCCGGCCGCCCCGUCCGGGAAGAAGUGAGGAGCGCCUCUGCCCGGGCGCCCCAUCCGGGAAGAAGUGAGGAGCGCCUCUGCACAGCCACCCAUCGUCUGGGAAGUGAGGAGCGCCUCUGCCCGGCCACCCACCGUCUGGGAAGUGAGGAGCGCCUCUGCCCGGCCGCCCCGUCCGGGAAGAAGUGAGGAGCGCCUCUGCCCGACCGCCCCGUCUGGGAAGAAGUGAGGAGCGCCUCUGCCCGGCCGCCCCGUCCGGGAAGAAGUGAGGAGCGCCUCUGCCCGGCCGCCCCGUCUGGGAGGUGAGGAGUGCCUCUGCCCGGCCACCCAUCGUCUGGGAGGUGAGGAGCGCCUCUGCCAGGCCACCCAUCGUCUGGGAGGUGAGGAGCGCCUCUGCCCGGCCACCCAUCAUCUGGAAAGUGAGGAGCGCCUCUGCCCGGCUGCCCCAUCUGGGAAGUGAGGAGUGCCUCUGCCCGGACACCCAUCGUCUGGGAGAUGAGGAGCGCCUCUGCCCGGCCGCCCAUCGUCUGGGAAGUGAGGAGCGCCUCUGCCCGGCCACCCAUCGUCUGGGAAGUGAGGAGCGCCUCUGCCCGGCCACCCAUCGUCUGGGAAGUGAGGAGCGCCUCUACCCGGCCACCUAUCGUCUGGGAAGAAGUGAGGAGCGUCUCUGCCUGGCCGCCCCAUCUGGGAAGUGAGGUGCCCGGCCGCCCCGUGUCUGGGUAGAAGUGAGGAGCUCCUCUGCCUGGCCGCUCCGUCUGGGAGGUCUACCACGGAGGCCAGAAGCAAUGUGGGGGCUGGACGUGGUGGCUCACGCCUGUGGUCCCGGCACUCUGGGGGGCGAGGCGGGUUGAUCACUUCGGGCUAGGAGUUCGAGACCAGUCUGGCCAACUUGGCGAAACAUGAAGAAUACAACAGACAAACCAACCAACCAACUCAAUGACAACAAAACAGCUCAAGCUGUAAAAGCCAAAGGUCCACCCCUUUUUUCCAGUCUCAUGUUGAAGAUCUUUAUGUAGAAGGCCUUCCAACAGGAAUUUUUUUUUUUUUUUUUGUGAUGGAGGUUUUACUCUUGUCGCCCAGGCUGGAGUGUCAUGGCACCAUCUUGGCUCACUGCAACCUCUGCCUCCCAGAUUCAAGAGAUUCUCCUGCCUCAGCCUCCUGAGUACGUGGGAUUACAGGCAUGUGCCACCAAGCCUGGCUAAUUUUGUAUUUUUAUUAGAAACAGAGUUUCCCUAUGUUGGUCACGUUGGUCUCUAACUCGCGACCUCAGGUGAUCCGCCUGCCUCGGCCUCCCAAAGUUCUGGGAUUACAGACAUAAUCUUAUGAAUUCAACACAUGAAGAUUUACAACUUGAUAAACCAGCUUCAGGAGAUCAGAACUUCUUACAAUACAACUGACAUUUCUCAGCCUAGAACAAAUACAACAGGGAUUAUGCUGCAUUCUGACUUAGGUUCUGCCAUCGAACACAGAAUGCCCUGAUCCUUAGAGGCAGAGGCAGCUCUUCAGCCUAUGAGGGCUUCUGUAAAAUAUUACAGGCAUGCUUUGGAGAUACUACAGGUUUGGUUCCACACCACUGCAGUAAACUUAAGUUCUUGGACUCAUUGAGGCAGUAAAAGAACCAUAUCCUGUGUUUGAAUCAAACCCCGAGUUCCUGUAUGUAGAAGGUUUGCCAGACAGGAUUCCCUUUUGAAGCCCUCCUGGUUUGGAAUUCCAUGACUUGAAAGGAUCGUCCGUGGGAGUAAUAAAAUCAAGUUUGUUAGUGAAAAACCUGAACUAGUUAUUUCCUACUUGCCUCCUGGAGUGGCUAAUAAAAUAAACACUGAAGCUUUGCAGUUUCUAAAAAGACCAUGAAGCCCUGAGAGUAAUGAAAAGGUUCCUGAAAUUGAGGUCACUGUGGAAGAGACAGGAUCUUGCUCUGUCACUCAGGCUGCAAUGCAGUGGUGUGAUCAUGGCUCGCUGUGGCUUCAAACUCCUGGGCUCAAGCAAUACUCCCGCCUCAGCCUCCCAAGUAGCUUGGACUACAGACGUACACCACCAUGCAAAGCUAAGUUUUUUAUUUUUUUUGUUGUAGAGAUGGGAUUGUGCUAUGCUGCCCAGGAUGAUCUCAAACUCCUGUCCUCAAGUGAUCCUCCUGUCUCAGCCUCCCAAAGUGCUGGGAUUAUAGGCAGCCAUGGGCCACCUGUGUCCAGCCUGCUAUUUUCUUUUUUUAAAAUAACAACUUUAUUGAAAUGUAGUUCACAUACCAUGCAAUUUAUUUAUCAAAGUACGCAAUUCAUUGGUUUUUAGAAUAUUCAUGGAGCUGUGAUCUAUCACCACAAUCCAUUUUAGAAGCUUUCAUUACCCUAUAGAGAAAUCCACUGUUCUUAGCCACUAGCUAAGAACGUGGCAGGGAGUAAGCCACUAGCUUACUCCCCCACAUGCUUCUGUGUUCCCAAUAGGCAACCACUGAUCUAUUUUCUGUCACUAUAGAUUUGCCUAAUCUGGACCUUCUAUAUAAAUAGGAUUGUGCAAUAUGUGAUCGUUUGUGGCUGGCUUUUUUUUCCGUCUUAGCACAGUGUUUUCAGAGUUCCUUCCUGUCAUAGCAUGUGUCAGUAUUUCGUUCCUUCUUUGGCUUAGUAAUAUUCCAUGGUAGAAACACACCAUAUUUUGUUUAUUCUUCAGUUGAUGAACAUUUGGAUUGUUUCCAUGUAUUGGCUAUUAUGAAUAAUGCUGCUAUGAAGAUUCAUGUACAAGUUUUUGUGUGGACAUACAUUUUUAUUUCUCUGGGAUAUAUACCUAGGAGAGAAAUUGUUGCAUUCUAUGAUACUGUACAUUUAGCCUUUUGAGAAACUGUUUUCCAAAGUGGUUACACCAGUCAGGUGCAGUGACUCACACUUGUAAUCCCAGCUACAUGAGAGGCUGAGGUGGGAGGAUCACUUGAGCCUACGAGUAAAGAAAGACCAGCUUGGGCAAGAUAGCAAGAUCCUGUCUCGGUUUUUGAAAAAUCAAAUUAAAAUGACAAGAAGACAGGUGCGGUGGCUCACGUCUGUAGUCCCAGCACUUUGAAAAGCCGAGGCGGGUGGAUAACUUGAGGUCAGGAGUUCAAAACCAGCCUGGCUGGGCAUGGUGGCAGAUACCUGUAAUCCCAGCUACUCGGGAGGUUGAGGCAAGGAGAAUUUUUUGAACCCAGGAAGUGGAGAUUGCAGUGAGUCAGGAUCACACCACUGCAUUCCAGCCAGGACAAAAGAGUGAGACUCUGUCACACAAAAAAAGUAAAAAUAUAAAUAAAUAAAAUGACAAGAAAAGAAACACCCAAACAAAGUAGUUAAACCAUUUUGUGUUCCCACCAGUAAUGUAUGUGGGUUCCAAUGUCUCCACAUUUUCACCAACAUUUCUUUUUUUGAGACAUGAUCUCUCUGUGUCACUUAGGCAGGAGUGCAGUGGUGUGAACAUGGCUCACUGCAGCCUCGAACCCCCAGACACUCGUGAUCCUUUUAUUUCAGCCUCUUGAGAAGUUGGGACUACAGUCAAAGUCCACCACACUCAGCUAAUUUCUUUUAUUUUUAGUAGAGACAGGGUUUCACUAUGUCUCCCAGGCUGGUUUCUAACUCCUGGACCCAAGUGAUCCACCUGCCUUGACCUCCCACACUGCUGGGAUUAUAGGUGGGAACCACCAUGCCCGGUCCUCUCUCUCUUUUCUCUCUUCCCUUUCUUUCUUGGUAGAGGGAAAUAUGUCAUGUACCAGCUAUCCAUCCACUGACUGCCCAUCAGUUCCAAAUUCACCCUUCACUGUCUGAUCUGCAAACAUAGAGGUGGGUUCCUUAAAUGCUUCCUCUGUCAGCUGGUACAUGAUUAAAUGUUGUCAGUACGUAGUACUAGAGGGACCUUGUAAGAGGCUUUUCUUUCUGGUUGUGGUGUGUGAAUCUCCACAGGCACUGAGCUUCUCCAGCACCGGGCUGCUGCCCUGCACGGUGCUCAGCAGCACCCAGUGACCAGCAGUUUCUCUGCACCUGCCUGGGUGGGUUUGUAGUGAGACAACUGUUCAUUAAUAGCUUAAUCUAGCACCCCAGAGGGUGAAUUUUCAGCAGAUUCCAGAGGGCAGAUUGCUAGCAUGUUCGACCAUGUGGUAAUACAGCAAUUCUGCUAUUGAAUUACCAGUGACUGCCCUCUCCAAGGGGGGGCUGGAUCUCAGCCCUAGUGGGAAGUCUUUUCCUUGAUCACGGUAUCUCAGCAUUGGGACAGUAGGGACAGUUACUGCUUGUUAUAUCAGCUGGUCCUAUACUCUUUUUUUUGGAGACAGGGUCUUCCUGUGUUGCCCAAGCUAAAGUGCAGUGGCGAAAUCAUGGUUCACUGCAGCCUUGACCGCCCAGGCUCGAGCAAUCCUCCCACCUCAGUCUCCUAAGUACCUAGGACUAUAGGACCUCACAAUGACUCAAGCUACCACUUUCUGUUGAUUAUGAUGAAAUGCCAGCUGAGGCACAUGCCGUGGGAGCUAAGUGGCUGCUGCGCUUGACCACUACGAAGACUGGUGUGGGAAGAUCCUUUUGGAUGCACUUGAGCAGGGGGCGCUAAUCCCUGCGUCACAGGCCUCUACUGGGCCAUACGGCAGGAGCCUCAGCCAAGAUGUCUCGCCCCACUCUCUAUGAUGCAACAAGAAGCCCCUGGAGAACGUUUCAGUCCCACUCUGUACUUCUGUCAUGUGCUCAUCACAGUCUGGUGGAAUUUAAAUGACCUCUUAUCAAGAUGGAUAAACCCAAGUUUCCCAGUGCUGGAAUAUAGAAAAUGGAUGGACAAGUAAGUCCUACUCAGCACCCAUAACCCAGACAUGGGGACCUCAACACACCAGACAUCACCUUUCAUUCUGGAUCUACCACGAAAGACUUCAGAGUCCAGGAAGAGAGACUGAUUGGGCAACAUGUUAUUCAGUUCCAAAAAGACUUGGACUAUGACUCAAAAAUGAUCAAAUAAUAGCACAUGCAUCAAAUACAAUAAGAAACACUUCUAGAGGGUAGGUGCCACAGUUAUCCCCAUUUUGUGAAUGAAGUGAUGAAGACUUCGGAAUGAUGAGUGAUUUGCCUAAGCUCACCUGGAUAUUAAGAGGUCUUGCUCUGUUGUCCAGGCUGGAGUGUGAUAGUGCUAUCACAGCUGACUGCAUCCUCGACCUCUCAGGCUCAAGCAGUCCUCCCACCUCAGCCUCCCAGGUGGCUGAGACUGUAUGUGCUUGCCACAAUGCCCAACUAAUAUUUGGACUUUUCCUAUACAUGGGUUCCAAAGGGCUGACUGCGAAACGACUUUGGACUUUUGAGUGGUUUAUGUCUCCUGAUUGGACCCUGACUAAUGCAGAGUUGAUGCUAGGAAGGGUCCCAGGAGACAGACCCACACAGAUGGGAUUUGGGCAUUGGUUUGGUUAUCCAAGGGGCCCUGCUGAGCUCCUUGCCAGUGGGACGUGGGAUGCUGUUGAUAUCCAGGAAGUGACCUCACAAUGACUCAAGCUACCACUUACUGUUGAUUGUGAUGAAAUGUCAGCUUUGACACAUGCCUUGGGAGCUAAGUGGCUGCUGCACUUGACCACUAUGAAGACUGGUGUGGGAAGGGUCCUUCUGGAUGUACUUGAGCAGGGUCCCCAAUGCCGGAGCCAUGACGACGGCCUCUCCCGGCCCAGCUGUGGCUUCAUGUCAGCCUCCCCAGGCCACGUUUCCGCUUGCCUUGCAGCAGCCUCGGCAAGCGCAGCUCCUCCCUGCCGAGAGCCUCUUAAAGAGGCUUAUCUCGUGCCUCGCCGCGGCCUCCCCAGGCCACGCUCCCGCCUUUCGGCAGCCUCCGCAGGCCCAGCUCCUGCGUCCCGAUGGCCUUUUUAGGCCCGGCUUGUUCUUCGUCGAGGCCUCUUGAGGCCUAGCUUUUUCAUUCUGGCGGCAUCUCCAGGCCCAGAACUUCCUCAAGUCGGCCUCCCCCGGCUCAGUUGCUGCCUCCCGGCCGCCUCACUGGGCCCAGCUCUUUCCUCACGGCUGUGCCUGCAGGCCCAGCUCCUGCCUCCGAACAGCCUCCUUUGACUCAGCUCCUGCCCAGCUCCCGGCGGCUUUAGGCCCAAAGCCUGCUCCAGUCCAGCUCUACAGGCCCACCUCUGCCCUCGCAGCGGCCUUCCCAGGCCCAGCUCUUGCCUCACGGCGGCCUUCCCCAGCCGCGUUCCUGCCAGCAUCCCAGCGGCCUCAACAAGCCCAGCGCCUGCCUCACACUGGGCUCUCGAGGCCCAGCUGAUGCCUCACGAUGGCCUCUCCAGGCCCAGCUCCCAUCUGCCUUGACGGCGUCUCCUGUCCCAAGGCUUUCUCAAGUGGGCCCUCCCCCCGCCGAUGGCCUGUGCGGGCCCAAAGCAUCCUGAAGUCGGCCUCGCCAGGCCCAGCUCCCGCCCGUCUCGAUGGCGUGUCCUGGCCCAAGGCUUUCUCAAGUGGGCCCCUCCGGGGCGUACCUCCUGCCCCCCCCCGCCGCUGAUGGUCUGUGCGGUCACAAAGCGUCCUGAAGUCGGCCUCGCCAGGCCAAGCUCCUGCCUGUCGUAGGUUCCUAGCGGCACGGCCUGUGCCUCCUCACAGUGGACCCCUGCCAGGCCCAGCUCUUGCUUCAGCAUGGCCGCCUCAGGCCAAGCUCGUGCCCUGCCUGUUGGCAGCCGCCACGGGCCCAGCUCUUGCCUUUCGCCAUCCUCUCCAGGCCCAGAACUGUUUCCAGCCGGCCUCUGCAGGCCCAGCUCUCCCUCCCGUCUGCGCCUGCUGAGCCAGCUCCUGCCUCACAACUGCCACGUUCGGCCCAGCUCCUGCCCAGCUCCUGGCAUCCUUUGUAGGCCCCAGGCUUCUCUAAGUCAGGCCUUCCAGUCCCCGCCUUCGGCUCCCCGGUGGCCUGGAGAGGCCCAGCUCCUGCCUGACAGCGACCUCUCCGUGGAUGCCGGUUAUGCCAGCUACUCGGGAGGCUGAGGCAGAAUUUCUUGAUCCCGGGAGGCGGAGUGUACAAAGUUAAUUUUUCCUCUUCAAAGUUUCCCUUCUUGUUAAAGAAUAAAUUAGAAGUGUUAGAAAUAA
Long non-coding RNA from Symphalangus syndactylus (siamang), 10474 nucleotides. RefSeq lists it as uncharacterized. The record is from RefSeq and is a predicted model, not a curated record. NCBI's taxonomy places the organism in Eukaryota, Metazoa, Chordata, Mammalia, Primates, Hylobatidae.